This 7285-nucleotide long non-coding RNA is filed under the name Sus scrofa (pig). RNAcentral describes it as "lncRNA (ENSSSCG00045021171.1, ENSSSCG00065041240.1)". Lineage: Eukaryota; Metazoa; Chordata; Mammalia; Artiodactyla; Suidae. The record is from RNAcentral.
GCAGAGUGCCAUAAUUUUAGUUCUUGAUUUUCUUUUUUUCUCACCUAUUUAUACUCAUUUUAUACUCACAUAUAUGUUGUCCUCAUCUAGUCUUGUGUCUUUGAAAACCCUUCAAGGCUGAUAGUUCCCAAACUGGUGUCACUAGCUCAGAAUUUUUUCUCAAAUCACAGAUUCAUCACUCCAUCUCUCUAUGAAUAUCUCCACUUGGGUGAACAGUAAAUAAUAAGAUGUCUCAAACACACACUGUCCACCUGAUAAAACCUUAGGUUUCUUUCUGCUCUUUCUAUGGAGAAUCUUUCUCAUCUCAUUGGAAGAUAACCCUGCAUUUCCAAGUUUGGGGAGAAAGACCUUGGGGUUAUUCUUGAUCUUCUCUUUCAUGCACACUCCACCAUCACAUCUUCAGGAAAUCCCUUUGGCUCUGUUUUUAAGAUAGAUUCAGACUCUAAAGUCUUCUCACUGCCUCCACCAUUACUAUGCUUCCUUUCCUACCUGGCCUCCCUGUUUCUAUUCUUGUUUUUCUACUAUCUGUUCUCAACAAUAGACAGGUUGAUUCUCAUAAAAUGUGAGUUAAUGGUUUCCCUUCUCUCCUAGAAUUCUGCCCGUGGCUGCCUAUUUCAUAAGCGCUGAGGCCAAAGUCCUUACAAGAUCUUACAUUUUCAGGCCCCUGAUUACCUAUUUGGUCUCAUUUCCUACUUAUCUCCCUCUUGUUCACUCAGUUCUAGUCAUUUUGCCUUCCUUGCUUUUCCUUGGACAUGCCAGGAAUUCUCCUAACCUGUGCACUGUCAUUUCCCUCUGAUAAGAACACUCUUCUCUUAAUUAUCAGACUCCUUCAAGUUUUAAUUCAAAUGGCAACUUUCCAAAGAGGCCUAUGCUGGGCACCCUAUUUAAGAUUGCUGCCAGUCUUUCCUCUGUUCCAGCUCUCCCAACCCCUUACCUUGCUCCAUUUUUUUUUGCCUUGCACUUAUAAUCUUGUAAUACUCUCUAUAAUUUACCUAUUUAUUAUGCUUUUGUUUUUUGACAGCCCCCACUUCACCCCACUGCCACUAGAAUCUAACUUCCACAAGGGCAGAAAGUUUAGUCUGUUUUGUUCACUGAUGUAUUCAAGAACCUAAGAAAGUGCCUGGCACAAGAUACAUGCAUGAUACAUAUUUAUUAUGUGAGUAAAUAAAUGAAUCUUCCACUUGAGAAAGUCAAAAUCAUCAUCAAAGAUACUAGAAAUUCCCAUUUCUAAUCACUACAAAUUAGUGACUUUCAUCUUGUUUAUACGAAAAAACAAUCAUUUAUCAUCUAACAGAUCAUGGAAAGAUUCACAAAACAACAAAAUAUGUAGUCUGGCACUAAACUAGUAAACAGCCAGUGUUAUUUUUCCAAUGAACAUCAGAGGACCUUUACCAAAAAUAGAAGGUCUUUGAUGCUGAGAUAUAAAUAAAAGCCAACACUCCAGCUUAAUUAGAUUUCGCAAUUCAGAAUAUGAACAAAUCAAGUCUUUGUAACUAUUUUCGAUGCUUAUUAAAAUACAUUAUUCAUAUUAACAUCAUAAAUCAUACUUGGAAUGUAUUCUUGAUUUGCUUUAUUAGUCCUGUGGUUGCAUAAAUGUAACUAUUGAUUGCUUUUAUAUUAUCUGAAAAUUGCUUAAACUUGUAGCUUCUAAGCUAAUGUUUCUCAAAAUGUGUUCUAAGAAACACAUUUUGGACUCCACGUUUCAUGAAAAUGUGGAGUCCAAGCUCAGGUGAGUUGGAAAGACACUGACUGAAACAGGUUUCUUUACUAAGGGGCUACAUUGUGAAUUUCAAUUUUUAAAUUUGAUGGGCAGCACUUCCUAAAGUUACUUGAUCACAGAACCUUUAGUCAAGGAUCAUUUUAACUUUGGGAAAUGAUGUUACACACAAGUAAUAUAUCAAGUACCAGAUAUUUGGUCAAAUUUGUGAUGGUGUUAUCUCUUCACAAAAGAUUACUUAGUGAUAGCGAUUUGUAGAAUAUUGGUUAUACAAGUAGAAAAGUUUGCAGAUGUCUGGAUAGAAGAUAUCCAAAACCUAGGUGGAAAAAUAAACAUUUAUAAUAUACUAACACAGAGGGCAUGGAGGUGUCAUGAUAGUGAAAACUAGAAGGAAAUGGUAAAUACAGAAGGAAUAAAAGUUGAGAAAAGGAUGGAGAGAGAGUUAAAAAAAAGACCAUAAUUGAUGCUUUUCUUUCCUGUUAAUGCAGCCAGAAUCCAGAUUUGGGACCAAAAAAAAGGAGAAAGCUCUAUGGAGAGCCCUGAGCCUGUGUCUUAGUGAAAAUGACAAGAGUGGAGGCCCCAGCUCUAGUCUUCACUCUUUUUCUUCCUACAUUUGUAUGAAAGUGAUCAAGAGUAAGCAAAAUGUGCAUUUCAUACAAUAUGGUUGCUUUUUUUUUUUUUUCCUAAGAAAAGAGCAAAUAGCCUCAGGAAAUCAGAUUCUUGUGACCUUUGUUACUCUUUAUUACUAAAGUAGUGUUCAUUCUCAGACUCUAAAGGACAUCUGAUUAGUAACACAUGGGUGACAUCAUUGAAAAAGCAUAAUCUGUGUGUCAUGAAAUGUUACUUGAAAAUAGUAGUGGGAAAAAGUUUUGUCAUUUGGGGAAGGAUGUCAAGAAAACAUCUCAGUCAGUUAUUUGUUGGAUUUAUUGGUGAAAAAAGCACACAUUUUUACUGAUUUGACUUUGGCUCAAUAUUGAACAAUUCGGGGCUACAAAACUGCACAUUGAGAUAUCGCUUAGCAUUUGAAAAUUAUGGUUUAUAUUUGACUAUGCUGCUAAAUGGCCUAUAAAGAAUUAUAUACAUUUGAUAUUUAAUAGGUUCAACAAAUAUACCCCCUGUUCCUGAGGAUGAUCCAUUUUAAGCAGAGCUGAGGGUGGCACAUUGCUCUUGAUGCAGAACCCAGGGGAGCACCUCUGAGCUGGCAGAGAAUCUCAGAAGCCUUCCGUUUUCUAUGACUUCAUCCUAAGAUUUAAUCUAGUUAAUCAAGGCAUCUUUUGGACUUGUAUAUCACUUCAAGGAGACAAUAGCCUUACAGAGCUUUCCACCAUACAGACUUAAUACAUGCUGCAGAGAAACUGCAGAACAAUUUAUUAUAUGUGAUAUCUUUAUUUUUAACAUUUUUUUUUGUCUUUUUAGGGCUGCACCCAUGGCAUAUGGAAAUUCCCAGGCAAGGGUUGAAUCAGAGGUGUAGCUGCCAGCCUAUUCUACAGCCACAGCCACAUGGGAUCCAAGUCACAUCUAUGACCUACGCUCACAGCAAUGCCGGAUCCUCAACCCACUGAGCGAGGCCAGGGAUCAAACCCACAUCCUCAUGGAUACUAGUCUGGUUCAUUACUGCUGAGCCAUGACAGGACCCAUGAUAUCUUUGAAAUAUCAAGAAGGUUGGGGAUUUGUAUUUAAGAAACUGAGGAUUGGUUCUUACAAUGAAUCCAUCAUCACUACUUGGAGGAAUCCCAUGUUACAAAGAAUGGAUCCUGCAGGUUUUUUCUUUGUGCUGAAAUCUGCCACGGGCAGGGGAGAAACAAGCUCUGGUCAACAUUCCAAUGAUGAUGGGCCUGGGAAACGGUCCCUCUGAAACUGGAUAAGAACCCAGUGAUUAACAGUACUUGAUGUUUUAAACAGUUAUGGUAAUUUAAAUGGCUGAUGUCAACAUUGCUACUAUCAGCAGCAACCUAAUGCUUCAAGUUUCGUUAAAAAUCAUGUAUUUGAAUUCACAUUUUCAUGUUGACUUGCUCAGCAAGUAGAGCACAGAAGUUACAGAUCCAGAUGGUGGAUGCCAUCAUGGCCUUGGAUGCACUGCCUGGAACCCCUUCAUAAAUGAAGAACUUAUUCUCUCGGCCACCAGGAUGCUGCUGGAAGAGGGCUCUUCCUUGUGGUUGUCUUAGCUCGAGACCACUGCCCUCCUUGGCGUAUAUAUCUCCUUCUAAUGACUGAUCGGCAUGGGAUGGAGGGACCUGGCUUUCUUGUCCUAACUCAGAACUAGGGAGUUGGAAGGGAUGCAAUUGGAAAGUUGGUGACAAUGACAUCUGGGGAAAAUAUGUGGAUAAAUCUCUACAAAUGGUCCCAGAGUAUAUGAGAGCUGUGUCUCUUGUGACCUCAGCAGAACUGGAUGAUAGGAUUUGUUUUGUUGAUAUGGGUCUCCCUUCCCCAGGUACCUCAUCUUGCCCAAGUGGCCAUGGUGGCAGGGAUCAAGGGCGCACAUGGGCUCAGCAAAAUAGAUGUCUGCUCACCGAGGCUAGAUGGCUGCAGCUCCUGCUGAAUGCUCCAUCUGCCAGCGCAGAGACCAGCGCAGAGCCUGCAAUGGGACACACUUCCCCAGGGGAUCGGCCAACCACGUGGUGGCAGGAUAAUUAAGCUGCAGCACUUCCAUCGAGGAAGGGGCUGCAUUUCAUUCUUGCUGGAAUAGAUUAUCACACUGGGUGUGGACUUGCUUCUCUUGCCUCCAAUGCUUCUGGAAAACCCACCAUUUGUGAACUCAUAGUCUGCCUUACCCACUGUCAUAGCAUCUGACACAUUAGCACUUCCCAGCAAGGAACAAAUUAUACUUAUAUGGAGCCAGGGGGUCCAUGCCCAUGGACUUCUCUGGUCUUAACUGUGUUCACCACCAUCAUGAAGCAGCUUGCUUGUAAAAUGUUGGAGUAGCCUUUGAUACAGUGAGUUAUGGUAUCAAUUAGGUGACAAUGCCACAUGGGGUGGGACAGUGUUCUCCCGGAGGCAAAAUAUGAUCUCACUUGGCAUCCAAUACACAGUGCUAUUCCUCCCAUAGUCACCCAUCUGGGAAUGAAGGGGUGAAAACAGGAGUGUCUUUGCUCAUUACAACCCCACAAUAUCCACUACUGAAAGUUAUACUUCCUGUCACUGCUACUUAAGGCUCUGCUGGUCUAGAGGCCUUAACUUCCAAAGGGAAGAAUGAUUUCUCAGGGGAACCCCAAAAUAGUUCUACUGAACUGGAAGUGAAUAUUGUCACUUGGUUUAGAAGGAUUUUUAAAAUUCCAAAUUUAUCUUCUUUUCUAGAAUUGUCUUCCAUCUCUUUGACUUCUAACCAAUGUUUAUUUUCUGUAGCUAUACUUAUAUUUACUUACAGAGAAAGAGAACAUAAGAGUAGCACACUCCUUCUUUGUCAGCUAUCAAGAGGAGAGGGACAUUAUUUUGUAACUCAAAGCAGUAGCAACAAAGCAGGAAAAGCUCAGGCUUUGAGCCAGAUGGGCAGCUGUGUUCAAAUCCCAGCUCCUUGAUCUACUAAAUUACUUAAUUUUUCUGAGACUUAGUUUUCUCAUCUGUCAAACAGGGAUAAUGAUACCUGUUAUAUAUCCAUGUGGUGAGUGUGAAAUAAUUAAAGCAGAAGCAAAGCACAUCUUGGACUCAGCCUAGUGCCUACUUGGUCAUCAGGAGGGACAGUGUUGGUUUACGCUUCCUGUCUUGCAAUCAUUAUCAUAAUGAUAUUAAUUAGGAUUUAUAACUCUGUUAAUGAUUAUAAUAAUUACUAAUAGCACACCAUUUCAAUCUCAGAAGUUAAGAUGAUGAAUUAGAUGUUCACUCUAAUCAUUGUCAAAUGUUGGUUUGCAUUUGCCACUCUUUUAUUGCUUAUUGUUGAGAAGAUUGCCAUAAAGUAGGUAGAAUUCAGAAGUAGUGUUUACCUAUGACUUGUAAACUCAGGUUUUGUUUUAUUUUAUUAUCAUUAUUAUUUUUUUGCUGCACCUGCGACAGAUCGAAGUUCCUGGGCCAGAGAUUGAAUCUGAGUUGCAGCUGCAACCUAUGCCACAGCUGUGGCAAUGCCAGUUCAUUAACUCAAUGGACCACAGUGGGAACUCCCUAAACUUAGAUUUUAAAUGAUUGCUGGAACUCCAAGUUUUAUUCUGAAUAAAAGAGAGCGUAGGUGUUGAAAUUUGACCAAUGAUGAAAACUGAUUACCUUAUUCCAAGGGUUGGCUUUAUUCAAGGGGAUGAUAAAACUGAUACCUUCCAUUUCAAUAGAGUCCUUGAAGAAAUCUUAUGAUAAGUCACAUUUAAACUUUAUGAUGUGAAAGGCUAAAAAAAUGUUCAGGAGAAUCAUUGCUGCCUCCCAUUUUUAAUCACUUUUUAAACUGGGAUUUCUUGUGCAUUUUUGCACACAAGGAAUUCUAGUGGGUAGGGUCCUCAGUGGCUUUCUUGGCAUGUUCACCAGAGGUGAGAAGUAGGCUCAUGCCCCUCCAUAGCCUCUGAGGAUGCGUUUCUUAUCCUUUCUUUGCUGGACAAUUUAGAGAAGAAUGAUCUGUCAGAGUAUUUAUAGAAGCCAUUAGCACGAUGAGUGAAGGCUUCGGAUAACUGAUGGCUCUUUAAAAAUAUGGCCUUAAGAAGAGGAAAGAGAAACUUGUAGGGUGUCUUCCAAAUAGCAGAUUGCUAUAUUUGGGUGGUCUGAGGAUUAUGACAAAUGUCAAGGACCACACACCGCACAAAAACAGCUCAUUAUAGCUGCACACGCAGAAUGCCAUGUUCAAGGUUGAGUGGCUGAUUUUGCUGCAAACACUAAUUUCCAGAUUAUACAAUUUGAAAUUUUUAAUUAGCCAUGAAUCCUUGUAGGGAUAACUUUGCUAUGCCUCUUUAUGUGUUGUAAAAAUAAGUCAGACUCUGCUUCAGCCACCCAAGACCUCCAAUAAAGGUUUCUGUGUGAUAGUGAUAGUUUCCUCUUCAAAUGCUAAUUUUGAAAAUUCAUAUUUCAGAAGAAUUAGUGGCUCAAUUCUGUGGUCAUUCUGCAUUUCUAAAUGUCAUUAAAAUUAAUGAAUUCUGAAAAUGAAAAGAAUAAAGCUGGUCUUUUCAGUUUGACUGAAAUGUUCCUAUUGAAUAACAUCAGAUCCAGUAAAUCACUUAAAUCUGUUGGUGAUACACACCUUUUAAAUGACUGUUGGAUUCAUGCACAAUACUUUUAUUGUUGAGGAUGUGGUGUGAACAGUAUGGAGGACAAAAUAAUAAAGAUUCAUUGAGUGUCCUGAGCUAUUUAGACUCAAUAUGCAUCAUAUUGAGAGAAUGCAAAAAUUCAAUGAAAUGCCAAAACCACCAUCGUUGGUAAUGGAGGCAUUCCAGAAAAGAUUGCAUUCUUAGGGAUGUCGCCAAAAGAUAUUUUAGUGUGUGUUUGUACACAAAAAUAUGAAUAAAUAUAUAUGGAAAAAUAGAAAGCAUAUACUAUAUAUGGAUAUAUAUUUAUAUUUGUAUAUAUAUAUUUAUAUUUGUGUGUAUAUAUAUAUAUUUAGAAUGUUACAACGGACCAGAUAAUAUAAUUCUAUGUAUUAAAUGCAGGGUUACAGAUGGACUA